AACGAACGCUGGCGGCAUGCCUAACACAUGCAAGUCGAACGAGACCUUCGGGUCUAGUGGCGCACGGGUGCGUAACGCGUGGGAACCUGCCCUUAGGUUCGGAAUAACUCCCCGAAAGGGGUGCUAAUACCGGAUAAUGUCUUCGGACCAAAGAUUUAUCGCCUUUGGAUGGGCCCGCGUUGGAUUAGCUAGUUUGUAGGGUAAAAGCCUACCAAGGCGACGAUCCAUAGCUGGUCUGAGAGGAUGAUCAGCCACACUGGGACUGGGACACGGCCCAGACGCAAAGGGGGGGAGGAGGGGGGGAAUAUGGAAAAAGGGGAGAAAGCCGAAUCCAAAAAGGCCGGGGGAGGAAAGAAGGCCUGGGGGUGGAAAAACUCUUUUACCCGGGAGGAUAAGGACAGUACGGGGAGAAUAAGCCCCGAAUAACUCCGU
This 432-nucleotide ribosomal RNA is filed under the name uncultured bacterium. Its description in RNAcentral is "partial 16S ribosomal RNA". It matches the Rfam family "Bacterial small subunit ribosomal RNA", at positions 29 to 506 of the family's 1533-position model. The record is from RNAcentral.